This is a long non-coding RNA of Ziziphus jujuba (common jujube), 1955 nucleotides long. RefSeq lists it as uncharacterized. The record is from RefSeq and is a predicted model, not a curated record. The transcript has 3 exons. Lineage: Eukaryota; Viridiplantae; Streptophyta; Magnoliopsida; Rosales; Rhamnaceae.
UAAAGUCAAUCGCUUGUCCAAUUCUGGUAUGAUGUACAGUGGCGGAUCAAGGAAAGAUCAUAGAAAUACAAAUAUAUACAUACAAUAUUAUUUUGUUUUCAUUUUUUUCUUAAAAGAAUCUCUCUCUCUCUCUCUCUCUCUCUCCCCCCUCCUUUUCUUUCACUCUAUUUCGCGCUCGCUCUCCACUUCCACUUACUUUUCCCACUUCGCUUUCAAUCAAAUGCUUUCACUGAGAAUCUGAGAAGCUUCUCUUUCCCUUAAGAACAAUGAAUCGUGGUCCAAACAAGUUUACCGAACAUCGAAUCCAUACUAAGCUCACUGCUCCUCCGCCUCCGUCGCUGACCACCACGAACAACAGAAACAUUCUCAUGCCGGUGAUGAGGCCUCCAAGAAUUGUCAGAAUAUCGGUCACCGAAGGCGACGCCACCGACUCUUCCAGCAACGAUGAGUAACAAGGAGGCUUCGCCGUCAGAGAGUCAAGAAGUUCGUCAACGAGAUAGCCAUCGAGUCUUGCUCCUCGAGAGAGAAGGACGGAGCAGGAGGAGUUUGGAGGAGUAGUAGAUCGUCGAUGACGUGCCGGAAAAGGUUCGCCGGAGGAGGAAACACAAGGCUUAAGGCGACCCACCGGAGUUUAAAAGCUCCGGCAAAGACGGCGGCGAAGAAGUUUCGCGGCGUGAGGUAGAGACUUGGGGAAAAUGGGCGGCCGAGAUUAGAGAUCCCAGGAGACGUGUACGUGAGAGAGCGUUUUUGCGAGGGAAAUUGAAAGCUUCUCUCUGAUUGUGCUCCUGACUCUGUGACCUACAUUCUUGAGUUGCUUACUUUGAGUCAUUAUGCUGGUUGUCAAUUUUAUUGUGCUGAGAGCCGAGGAGAGUCUUGGGACUCAGAAGGAAACCACAUAAAAAAUGAUUACAGAUUUUAAUUUAUAAAUGGCUAUGUUUGGAGGUUAGUACUUUUAUGCUUUAAUAGAAUUUAUUAUGUAUAUUUUAGAUUUGCAUAAUUAAGAUAAAUUCUUACAAUUGAUAUCAGAGCAUGGUUAAUAUGCAUAAUAAAUUCUUUUGUAAUUUUUCGUUAUAUUGACUGUGUUCCCAUUGUGAACAUUGAUAUGUUAUUAUAUUAAACUGUACAAACAUGUUUGAGCAUCAAAUUGUUUCUAUUAGGCCAUUGAUUUAUCUGUGUAUUCUAAAUAUAUAUACAUUGCUUUACAUUAAUUUUUUUUUCUUUUCUUUUUUAUUUUAUUUGUGUACAUGUGUAAAUUAUGAGAUUCAAGAUUACAUAUUUUGUGAAUAUAUAUACAUGUUCGAUUUCUAUUUCGAAUAAAUAAAAAUUAAAAAAAAUUUGUGAAAUAUCGGCUCCGUUUACAUUGUAUAUUGGUUUUGCAAAAUAUUGGAAAACUUGUGUUUUGCAUGAUUUAUGACCUGGGUUUUGUGGUAUUUUCUUUUUCGGAUGGAAUGGAACAAGUUUUUAGCGUUAUUUUGGAUUGAAACCUCCAAAUUGGGUCUGAAAACUCUCGUAAAAAGGCCGAAAUUCAUCCUGCUUGGGUGUUUAAUUUUCUGGGUCUUUUGGAUCAAAUUAACUUGGGGAAAUAAUUGCCAAGAGUAGACGAAUUCAACGUCUCCGGUACCACCAGAAAUGGAAGCUGGAAUGGCGAGAUAUGGCCGGGUACAGAUAUCGGGUCGCAUGACCCGUCUGCACUGAAAUCAGGUUGACUCGUGACCUGGAUUUGAGGAAGGAGACAUGUACUACAUGCCGUUUGGAGCCCUUUAGUGUUGACGUCAGCACAAUGUGUCAUUCGCUGGCAUCAGCAUGUUGGCGUUAGCAGCCGAAAUGUAUAUAAAAAAAAAAAAAAAAAGAAGGGAAGUUUUGUUAUUUAAUUCAUUCAUUGUUUAUUUAUUUAUAUGGCUAUUUAUUUGUAUAGUUAUUUAUUUACUUAUUUAUUUGGUUAGUUAUUUGUUUAA